GUACGGGAGGCAGCAGUGGGGAAUAUUGCACAAUGGGGGAAACCCUGAUGCAGCGACGCCGCGUGAGCGAAGAAGUAUUUCGGUAUGUAAAGCUCUAUCAGCAGGGAAGAUAAUGACGGUACCUGACUAAGAAGCCCCGGCUAACUACGUGCCAGCAGCCGCGGUAAUACGUAGGGGGCAAGCGUUAUCCGGAUUUACUGGGUGUAAAGGGAGCGUAGACGGCAAGGCAAGUCUGAUGUGAAAACCCAGGGCUUAACCCUGGGACUGCAUUGGAAACUGUCUGGCUCGAGUGCCGGAGAGGUAAGCGGAAUUCCUAGUGUAGCGGUGAAAUGCGUAGAUAUUAGGAAGAACACCAGUGGCGAAGGCGGCUUACUGGACGGUAACUGACGUUGAGGCUCGAAAGCGUGGGGAGCAAACAGGAUUAGAUACCCGUGUAGUCCA
Molecule: ribosomal RNA, 441 nt
Filed under: uncultured bacterium
Lineage: Bacteria
Description: bacterial SSU rRNA
Rfam family: Bacterial small subunit ribosomal RNA
Source: RNAcentral